RNAcentral lists this transfer RNA (73 nucleotides) under Wolbachia endosymbiont of Howardula sp. RNAcentral's name for it is "tRNA-Met". It matches the Rfam family "tRNA". From Rfam's summary of the family: Transfer RNA (tRNA) molecules are approximately 80 nucleotides in length. Their secondary structure includes four short double-helical elements and three loops (D, anti-codon, and T loops). Further hydrogen bonds mediate the characteristic L-shaped molecular structure. tRNAs have two regions of fundamental functional importance: the anti-codon, which is responsible for specific mRNA codon recognition, and the 3' end, to which the tRNAs corresponding amino acid is attached (by aminoacyl-tRNA synthetases). tRNAs cope with the degeneracy of the genetic code in two manners: having more than one tRNA (with a specific anti-codon) for a particular amino acid; and 'wobble' base-pairing, i.e. permitting non-standard base-pairing at the 3rd anti-codon position. The record is from RNAcentral. Lineage: Bacteria; Pseudomonadati; Pseudomonadota; Alphaproteobacteria; Rickettsiales; Anaplasmataceae.
GGCUGAGUAGCUCAGUUGGUAGAGCAGGAGAAUCAUAAUCUCUUAGUCGGGGGUUCAAGUCCCUCCUCAGCCU